AUUCGAGAAGGCUUAAGAGUGGGACUGAGAAACAGAGAUUUUUGCAAAUUCUGGAUGGAUUUAUGGAUAGGCAAUGAUACAUUGGAUAAACUUUUUCAUCUCUUUUUCCCAUUUCAUUACUUCAGUCUGUGGCGGUAAAUAAAAUGGGAGUGUGGAAUGGUGUGAACUGAUCCUGGUGUCUAUGCUGGAGAAGAAAUUUGCAAGAUUGGGAAUUUACUCAAAGAGAUGCCCUCCUUAAUUUUCUUAAAGAUGUUGUGAUCUAUCCUUUUAGCAAUGACAGAAUGAUUCGAGAAUUCAAUGCUAAUAGUGAUUACAACAUCAAAUCCGCUUGCUUGGCAAUGAUUCAACCCCAAACUUUAACAUCCUUUGAGUUUGUUGCAGGUGUUUGGAUGGGAUUAGCACCCCUAAAGGUGGAAGUCUUUAGUUGGCUUACCUUAUUGGGAAGAGUAUCAACCAGAGACCUGCUCUUGAAUAGAGGACUCUUUAGAGACAAGUCUCUUGUGGGAAAGCAGUUCGAGAUCUCAGGACCAUGGUAGAGCUCUGAGCAGCUGUUCACUAAUGACUCGACAAAGGCGCUCAAGGGAACCUGAAUCUGUCGACUGGAAGCAGAAUUUGGCUGUGCAGGGAAGAAAGAAAAGAAGAAGAAAGCCAAGAGUAUGCAAGAACAAAGAAGAAGCUGAGACUCAAAGAAUGACACACAUUGCUGUUGAGAGGAAUAGGCGAAAACAGAUGAAUGAAUAUCUGGCCGUUUUGAGAUCUCUCAUGCCUGAAUCUUAUGUUCAAAGGGGCGACCAGGCCUCCAUAGUAGGUGGUGCCAUAGAGUUUGUCAAGGAGUUAGAGCACCUCUUGCAUUCCCUUGAAGCUCAAAAGGUCCAACUACUACAUGGGUUGAAAGGACCCAGUGAAGAUACCAGCAUUAGCACUGGAACCUCUAAAUCCCAGUUUCCACCCCCUUUUGCACAAUUUUUUGUGUAUCCUCAGUACACUUGCUCUCAAAUGCCUAACAAGUAUACAUCCAAGGCUAAAGCAUCAAUAGCUGAUAUUGAGGUCACUUUGAUAGAAACCCAUGCAAAUCUUCGGAUUCUCUCAAGAAAAAGGCCAAGACAGCUCUUCAAGUUUGUUACUGGAUUUCAAACACUUUACCUUACCAUUCUUCACAUCAAUGUGACUACUAUGGACCCAUUGGUUCUCUAUUCAAUCAGUGCCAAGCUUGAAGAAGAAUGCCAACUCACUUCUGUGGAUGACAUAGCAGGAGCAGUACACCACAUGCUUAGAAAAAUUGAGGAAGAAACUACUCUAUUUUGAUAAGGCCAUUAGCUGCCCAAAAUGCCCUUUGGUUUGCGGAAAAAUCACCAGAGUAGCACCGACUUGUUAAUUUGUCUGUUGCAAUGAAGUUUAUGAUGUUCUUUUGUGCAGCCACAGAAUACACAUGAGCUGUGUUUGGUAAUUCCUCCUGGACUUAAGUUGUGGACUUGUUUAUAAGGGUGGGAACUAGAAGCUUGGUUUUUCCAACAGAAAAAUAGGACGGUAAAAGGCUUUAGUCUAUAUUUAUGUAGAGUACCUUACUCCCUAUUUCAAACCCUUUUCAUUUCAAAUCUGGAAUCUUACAGCUUAAAAGCCUCCUUCGUACAAUUAAUUGGCUAUUCUAA
RNAcentral lists this unclassified non-coding RNA (1649 nucleotides) under Hevea brasiliensis (rubber tree). The record is from RNAcentral. Lineage: Eukaryota; Viridiplantae; Streptophyta; Magnoliopsida; Malpighiales; Euphorbiaceae.